CAAGGGGUAGUUUAAUGUGAGAAUCCUGGCUUUGGGAGCCAGGGGCAGGAGUUAAACCCUCUUCUCCUUGA
This 71-nucleotide transfer RNA is filed under the name Bothus pantherinus (leopard flounder). RNAcentral's name for it is "tRNA-Pro". It matches the Rfam family "tRNA". From Rfam's summary of the family: Transfer RNA (tRNA) molecules are approximately 80 nucleotides in length. Their secondary structure includes four short double-helical elements and three loops (D, anti-codon, and T loops). Lineage: Eukaryota; Metazoa; Chordata; Actinopteri; Pleuronectiformes; Bothidae. RNAcentral also lists the same sequence under 1 other name. The record is from RNAcentral.